UAGCCGCAAUCUGUGCUAAGGUAGCAUAAUAAUUUGUCUUUUAAAUAAAGACUAGAAUAAAUGAUUUAACAUUUCGAUCUAUUUAUUAAAUUUACAAAUUCAAAUUAUUUAUAAUGUAAUAAAACAUUAUUAAAUUAGUAAGACGACAAGACCCUAUUAAAUUUAACUUUAGUUUAACUGGGGUAGUUAAUUAAUUAUUAUUUUAAUAUAAAUAUUAUUACAUUAAUCUCAUAUUAUUAAAUAAAUAAAUUACUAUAGGGAUAACAGCGCAAUUAUAUUUUAAAGCACAUAUUAAAUAUAUAGAUUACGACCUCGAUGUUGAAUUAAUUACCUAAAUAAAGCAAAUUUUAAAAAAGGAAGUCUGUUCGACUUAUAAAUAAUUACAUGAUUUGAGUUCAGACCGGUGUAAACCAGGUCGGUUUCUAUCUACUAAAAACCUUCUUGUAGUACGAAAGGACCUAAGAAUAUAAUUUUAUUAAAUUUAUUUAGCAAAAAAAUGCAUUAGACUUAGACUCUAAAAAAACUAAA
Molecule: ribosomal RNA, 528 nt
Filed under: Colyttus striatus
Lineage: Eukaryota; Metazoa; Arthropoda; Arachnida; Araneae; Salticidae
Description: partial 16S ribosomal RNA
Rfam family: Bacterial large subunit ribosomal RNA (bases 136-432)
Source: RNAcentral